AGACAUUGGCGAUCCGAGGGUCUACUGAGUCGUUGUAGGAUCGGUACUGGGGCACAGACCGUGGUGGACGGGAGGAGGCGGCACCUUGAGGGGGAAGCAUGGUGGCUGCUGCAGGCAGCUGGUCUCGCAGUUGAGGCCAGUGAAGAAGGAGAACCGGGUAGCUGGCUCUGGAGUCAGGGUGAUGUCAUGGUCCAGAAACUGUCCCCACUGCAUGAACAUGAGUGAGCGCUCCUGGUCCUUGGUCAGCUGAUCGUUGGGGAAGCGCACGAUGGCGUUGGAGACCUGGCGAGCCUGCAGCAACAACAGGAGUCAUUGGAUGCCUAGGUCCUGCACAUAAGCCCGGGCUCACCUCCCUCAGUGGACACUCACCAGGGGCACCCUGAAGCCAUUGCGAUUGACUCGGGGCGUCCAGCCGAAGGGCAGGGAGACGCCAUCUUCAUACUCUGCAGGCAACCAGCGCGCAAAGGCGCGGUUGGAGGCCCCCAGAGUGGGGCUUCGUCUAGAGGGAAGCACAGAGCUCUGGCCCAAUGGGUCGCCACAGGCAAGACCUAGACCCCCUACACCACACAACCCUGAACUGCCCUGGGCCCGUACCUGUUGUUGCAGUGUCCAGUGAUGGUGCGAUACUUGUCAUUCGGUGGGCAUGUCACCCUCACAUCCUGAUAGGCGCAGCCACUUGACAAGGACAACAGAUUCAGCUGAGCAGGUGUCAACACAUCUGCGAGAGUGAGC
This 732-nucleotide long non-coding RNA is filed under the name Mus pahari (shrew mouse). Its description in RNAcentral is "lncRNA (MGP_PahariEiJ_G0002591.1)". The record is from RNAcentral. Lineage: Eukaryota; Metazoa; Chordata; Mammalia; Rodentia; Muridae.